This is a long non-coding RNA of Eriocheir sinensis (Chinese mitten crab), 395 nucleotides long. RefSeq lists it as uncharacterized. The record is from RefSeq and is a predicted model, not a curated record. The transcript has 3 exons. Lineage: Eukaryota; Metazoa; Arthropoda; Malacostraca; Decapoda; Varunidae.
GCCUAGUGAUAGUUUGACAAGGCUUUGGUAGAGGUUGUGUUAGUAGUAUUUCCAUGGGUAGUGUUAUGAGCCUAGUGAUAGUUUGACAAGGCUUUGGUAGAGGUUGUGUUAGUAGUAUUUCCAUGGGUAGUGUUAUGAGCCUAGUAAUAGUUUGACAAGGCUUUGGUAGAGGUUGUGUUAGUAGUAUUUCCAUGGGUAGUGUUAUGAGCCUAGUGAUAGUUUGACAAGGCUUUGGUAGAAGUUGUGUUAGUAGUAUUUCCAUGGGUAGUGUUAUGAGCCUAGUGAUAGUUUGACAAGGCUUUGGUAGAGGUUAUGUUAGUAGUAUUUCCAUGGGUAGUGUUAUGAGCCUAGUGAUAGUUUGACAAGGCUUUGGUAGAGGUUGUGUUAGUAGUAUU